UGGGGAAUUUUGGACAAUGGACGCAAGUCUGAUCCAGCCAUGCCGCGUGCGGGAAGAAGGCCUUCGGGUUGUAAACCGCUUUUGUCAGGGAAGAAACGAGUUUCUCUAAUACAGAGACUUAAUGACGGUACCUGAAGAAUAAGCACCGGCUAACUACGUGCCAGCAGCCGCGGUAAUACGUAGGGUGCAAGCGUUAAUCGGAAUUACUGGGCGUAAAGCGCGCGCAGGCGGUUAUGCAAGUCAGAGGUGAAAUCCCCGGGCUCAACGUGGGAACUGCCUUUGUGACUGCAUAGAUAGAGUACGGUAGAGGGGGAUGGAAUUCCGAGUGUAGCAGUGAAAUGCGUAGAUAUGCGGAGGAACACCAAUGGCGAAGGCAAUCCACUGGACCUGUACUGACGCUCAUGCACGAAAGCGUGGGGAGCAAAUA
This 427-nucleotide ribosomal RNA is filed under the name uncultured bacterium. Its description in RNAcentral is "bacterial SSU rRNA". It matches the Rfam family "Bacterial small subunit ribosomal RNA", at positions 355 to 774 of the family's 1533-position model. The record is from RNAcentral.